Molecule: unclassified non-coding RNA, 387 nt
Filed under: Dolichospermum spiroides
Lineage: Bacteria; Bacillati; Cyanobacteriota; Cyanophyceae; Nostocales; Aphanizomenonaceae
Description: partial contains 16S ribosomal RNA gene, partial sequence; 16S-23S ribosomal RNA intergenic spacer, complete sequence; and 23S ribosomal RNA gene, partial sequence
Rfam family: Bacterial small subunit ribosomal RNA (bases 1-100)
Source: RNAcentral
CCCAACCGAGAGGAGGGGGAUGCCUAAGGUAGGACUGAUGACUGGGGUGAAGUCGUAACAAGGUAGCCGUACCGGAAGGUGUGGCUGGAUCACCUCCUUUUAGGGAGACCUAAUCCAUUUAGAAUUUCCGAGCAAUUUUCAUUGCUAGAAACUAAAUUGGUCUAACCUAGGUCGGUCGAGAUUGGUAGAUAUCUUUCAAAGUAUUAUUAGGCUUAGUUCAAUAGGAAAAAAGACAGCACCUAACAAUCAUCGUUAGACUGCUGGGUGAAAUUCCAGCCAGAACCUUGAAAACUGCAUAAGAGAAAGAGAAAAAGCAGGCAGACACAGACAUUUAAAUGGAUGUGAAAGCAAAAGAAAUUGUGGUCAAGCUAAUAAGAGCUAAUGGUG